GAAAUUCUCUACUAUUCAACUUUUUUCACGAAUCGUUGAACAAGUAGGUGCCUGGGCUUGCUUGCGGUUUGGUUACAGACACACGCUCGCCUUAAAUGCAUUAGCUGGACUUCAGUAGAGUUGUUAAGUAACAUUGAAAACUCUUGUCAUCGAAGUCUGCUUUCGAACCUGUCUCCUCUUCUGAGGUAGAUGUAUAUUUUUUCAA
Molecule: unclassified non-coding RNA, 205 nt
Filed under: Exobasidium camelliae
Lineage: Eukaryota; Fungi; Basidiomycota; Exobasidiomycetes; Exobasidiales; Exobasidiaceae
Also listed under: 1 other name
Description: sequence contains ITS2
Source: RNAcentral